AGUGAACGCUGGCGGUAUGCCUAACACAUGCAAGUCGAACGGCAGCACAGUAAGAGCUUGCUCUUACGGGUGGCGAGUGGCGGACGGGUGAGGAAUACAUCGGAAUCUACUUUUUCGUGGGGGAUAACGUAGGGAAACUUACGCUAAUACCGCAUACGACCUACGGGUGAAAGCAGGGGAUCUUCGGACCUUGCGCGAUUGAAUGAGCCGAUGUCGGAUUAGCUAGUUGGCGGGGUAAAGGCACACCAAGGCGACGAUCCGUAGCUGGUCCGAGAGGAUGAUCAGCCACACGGGAACUGAGACACGGUCCAGACUCCUACGGGAGGCAGCAGUGGGGAAUAUUGGACAAAGGGCGCAAGCCUGAUCCAGCCAUACCGCGUGGGUGAAGAAGGCCUUCGGGUUGUAAAGCCCUGUUGUUGGGAAAGAAAAGCAGCAGGUUAAUACCCCGCUGUUCUGACGGUACCCAAAGAAUAAGCACCGGCUAACUUCGUG
Molecule: ribosomal RNA, 492 nt
Filed under: uncultured bacterium
Lineage: Bacteria
Description: partial 16S ribosomal RNA
Rfam family: Bacterial small subunit ribosomal RNA
Source: RNAcentral